This 506-nucleotide ribosomal RNA is filed under the name uncultured bacterium. RNAcentral describes it as "partial 16S ribosomal RNA". It matches the Rfam family "Bacterial small subunit ribosomal RNA", at positions 30 to 523 of the family's 1533-position model. The record is from RNAcentral.
AUUGAACGCUGGCGGCAGGCCUAACACAUGCAAGUCGGACGGUAGCACAGAGGAGCUUGCUCUUUGGGUGGCGAGUGGCGGACGGGUGAGUAAUGUCUGGGAAACUGCCCGAUGGAGGGGGAUAACUACUGGAAACGGUAGCUAAUACCGCAUAACGUCGCAAGACCAAAGUGGGGGACCUUCGGGCCUCACACCAUCGGAUGUGCCCAGAUGGGAUUAGCUAGUAGGUGGGGUAAUGGCUCACCUAGGCGACGAUCCCUAGCUGGUCUGAGAGGAUGACCAGCCACACUGGAACUGAGACACGGUCCAGACUCCUACGGGAGGCAGCAGUGGGGAAUAUUGCACAAUGGGCACAAGCCUGAUGCAGCCAUGCCGCGUGUAUGAAGAAGGCCUUCGGGUUGUAAAGUACUUUCAGCGGGGAGGAAGGCGGUGAGGUUAAUAACCUUGCCGAUUGACGUUACCCGCAGAAGAAGCACCGGCUAACUCCGUGCCAGCCGCCGCAGUAA